ACAAGACCCUCCAUGAUGGCGCCCCAAGGCCAUGUGAACCUAUGUGGAAAUAAACCCAGUAGAGCACAGAGCAGUGCAGGAUCAGAUGCCCAGCACAGGGUGCGACACUCCUUCUCAAAGGCACGGUCUUGCUAUGUUGCCCAGGCUGGUCUUGAACUCCUGGCCUCAAGUGAUCCUCCUGCCUCAGCUUCCCAAGUUGCUAGGAUUGCAGGUUAUAUGAACUGCAUCCUCCUCUUCUCAACACAUGGAUUAAAUAAAACUUCCCUUCCAAAAAGGGAUCUGAAAGUUAAACCACACUAGGGUGUGAUUGACAACAAUCUUGAUAGUUCACUUUUCAAAAUAUUGGCAAGUUAAGUUUCAGAAGGCUUAAAUCAAAAGAUUGAUUCAAAAAUGCUAUGAAGCAAAGAAUUCUUGGAUAAUUUCUCCUGAAUCUCUGGAUACAGUCCUUGUUGGCUUCUCCUCGCUGCCUCAGGUAUCACCAUGACAGCAUAAUUUCCCAUUUUUCCAUAUUAAAAUACCAAUAUGCUUGGGAGAGAACAUUUAGUUUGCCUUAUUAGCUAAUAAAACACCAUUUGAAUAUAUAUGAUCCUUUCCUGUCUGAAAAUUAAUCAAAAAUGGAUCUGUUAGGAAACAAGAUGGUGACAUAAGCUUAAGGGGGAGAGAAGUUCAUUUCUUGAGAUUAUUAUACACCAAACACAUGCUCUAUGUGCGCAGUGCAAUGUUAUUUAAUCUUCUUAAGGGGCAUGAUGUAAGCAGUUCUUCCAUUUUAUAAAUGAGAACAUUGAGGUUCAGGGAGGUAAAUUUAAUUGUUGAAGCUUACAAGUGACUGAGACUCAACCAAAAGAUACAUGGAUGCAGAGGUCUUGCUAUUUUUAGGGAAAUCUGAAGGCUGCAAACAUAAGUGCCCCACUUGGACUCUGGCAAAGCUGGCCCCGCCACCUGCUCUGAAGACUGGACAAGGAGCAGAUCUCAAUUUCUGGCUCCCAGCAAGUAUUUUCUCCACUAGACCACACAGAAGGCUCCAAUGCAACAGUCAGGACCAGGGUUUGGUUCUUUUGCCCAGCAGCCUAAGCUAAUCUCCAUGAGUCAAGCCAGACCUUUCAUUCUGGUUUGGGACAACCAGGGCUAAGAGUCAACCUGCAUGGUGCCUCUUGUGGAAAUAGUAGGGGAAAGAAAGUAUCCGGAAUUUGGUUCUCUGUUCCAACAUCCUUUUUAAAGUGCCAAUUAAUCCUUCAAGGGAGUUGUCUUUACAUGUGGUGUUGAGGCAUGGGGGUGUGAUGCACUUGUGUGAGGCACAGACUCACAUAGACAGUAAGUCCCCACCAGCCAUGAGCUCACAGUCCUGUGUUGGGGGUUUUCUGAACCACCUCAGCAUGGCACUUUGGCAUGCUGAGUGCUUUAAACCGAAGGACAUUGGAAGGGUCUCAGAAUCAAAGUCUGUCUCUGACUUUCUCCUGCCUUUCUUUUUCCUGUUCCCCAAGGCAGGCCAUAGAAACUAGAAUUCCUCUUUCCCAAGGUGGGUCAUAGAAACUAGAAAUAUUGCUCUAAACUUUCUGUGUAGGAGCUGGCCACAAGGAAGCCAUCUGACCUACCUUGCUUGAAAGCAGGUCAUAAGACCCUCAUUCCAGAGGGGUCCUGCUGCAUACCCAGGAGAAAGAAAUACCACACAAAGAGGCCAAGAAGAAUCUGAACAGUCAGGCCUUGCUGGGUUUCCCCUGCAACCUAUCACCAUUAGAUCACAACCUUUGGUCCAAUCACAUUUCUACAUGGCUGUCCAUUCUUCAUUGAUCCUAAGCAAAAAAAUAGACAGUUUUCCCUGGGUCUUUAGGUCUUCAUUUCUGAAGCCUCCCAUGUCAUAUAAAACUUUGAUUAAAGAAAUGUGUUAUGCUUUUCUCAUGUUAACCUGUUUUUUGUUAUAGGAGUGUUGGCUGUGACCCUUAUGAUGGGAUGAAAAGGUACCACGCUUUUUCCAUCCCCAAACCUGGAAAGAACUGUAGUUGGUGAGACCAGAAAAUCUCACAAAAAGCAGGGAGAGGGAGGAUUAAGGCUGAAACAUUUUAAAUAAGCCAUUGUGCAUCAAUUAAAAUAAGUGAAAGUCUAGAAAAUAUCCAUUUUUCAUUUGUGGGUGUGACAAAUCUAGUCCAAAAUGUAUUCCCAUGAAUCAAUUUCUUCAAUCCAUCUAUUAUUACCAAACAAUUUAAUCAUGUUCAGUUUUUAUGAAGUACAAAUGAAAGGCAAACAAGAGAUUGUCCUAAACAAGACAGUUCUCAUAAUUGUCUUUGAAGCCAACACUUUAUCCCAGUUAAGAUGACAUUGGGGUCCCAGAUGACUGUUACUUAAGGGAUGAUUUUCUCUCUAACUCUGCAUUCUGAGGAAUUCUACAUAAAUUUCCAUUACUUUAAAGAAUCUGUACUUCUAUUAUCCUUGUGACUCAAAGGAAACUGACAGACCAGGAUGAUACCAUUGCCAUUUUUUUCCCCAGUGGGAUCUUAUAUUGCUCCUAUCAAUUUAUGUAAGCCUGCAA
Molecule: long non-coding RNA, 2524 nt
Filed under: Homo sapiens (human)
Lineage: Eukaryota; Metazoa; Chordata; Mammalia; Primates; Hominidae
Description: HSALNT0113672
Source: RNAcentral